RNAcentral lists this ribosomal RNA (823 nucleotides) under uncultured bacterium. RNAcentral describes it as "bacterial SSU rRNA". It matches the Rfam family "Bacterial small subunit ribosomal RNA", at positions 60 to 884 of the family's 1533-position model. The record is from RNAcentral.
AGUCGACGAAGCACCUUGAUUUGAUUCUUCGGAUGAAGAUCUUGGUGACUGAGUGGCGGACGGGUGAGUAACGCGUGGGUAACCUGCCUCAUACAGGGGGAUAACAGUUAGAAAUGACUGCUAAUACCGCAUAAGACCACAGCAGCGCAUGGUGCAGGGGUAAAAACUCCGGUGGUAUGAGAUGGACCCGCGUCUGAUUAGGUAGUUGGUGGGGUAACGGCCUACCAAGCCGACGAUCAGUAGCCGAUCUGAGAGGGUGACCGGCCACAUUGGGACUGAGACACGGCCCAAACUCCUACGGGAGGCAGCAGUGGGGAAUAUUGCACAAUGGGGGAAACCCUGAUGCAGCGACGCCGCGUGAGCGAUGAAGUAUUUCGGUAUGUAAAGCUCUAUCAGCAGGGAAGAAAAUGACGGUACCUGACUAAGAAGCACCGGCUAAAUACGUGCCAGCAGCCGCGGUAAUACGUAUGGUGCAAGCGUUAUCCGGAUUUACUGGGUGUAAAGGGAGCGUAGACGGAGUGGCAAGUCUGAUGUGAAAACCCGGGGCUCAACCCCGGGACUGCAUUGGAAACUGUCAAUCUGGAGUACCGGAGAGGUAAGCGGAAUUCCUAGUGUAGCGGUGAAAUGCGUAGAUAUUAGGAGGAACACCAGUGGCGAAGGCGGCUUUCUGGACGAUGACUGACACUGAGGCACGAAAGCGUGGGGAGCAAACAGGAUUAGAUACCCUGGUAGUCCACGCCGUANACGAUGAAUACUAGGUGNCGGGGCCGUAGAGGCUUCGGUGCCGCAGCAAACGCAAUAAGUAUUCCACCUGGGGAGUACG